GAUGAACGCUAGCGGCAGGCUUAAUACAUGCAAGUCGAGGGGCAGCACGGUUAGCAAUAACUGGUGGCGACCGGCGCACGGGUGCGUAACACGUAUACAAUCUACCUUAAACAGGGGAUAGCCUUUCGAAAGAGAGAUUAAUACCCCGUAAUAAAUUGAACGGCAUCGUUUGAUUUUGAAAGCUCCGGCGGUUUGAGAUGAGUAUGCGUCUGAUUAGCUAGUUGGUGAGGUAACGGCUCACCAAGGCGACGAUCGAGUAGGGGAUCUGAGAGGACUAACCCCCACACUGGUACUGAGACACGGACCAGACUCCUACGGGAGGCAGCAGUAAGGAAUAUUGGUCAAUGGAGGCAACUCUGAACCAGCCAUGCCGCGUGCAGGAUGACGGCCCUAUGGGUUGUAAACUGCUUUUAUACAAGAGAAAACCCUGGUACGUGUACCAGGUUGAUAGUAUUGUAAGAAUAAGCAUCGGCUAACUUCGUGCCAGCAGCCGC
Molecule: ribosomal RNA, 494 nt
Filed under: uncultured bacterium
Lineage: Bacteria
Description: bacterial SSU rRNA
Rfam family: Bacterial small subunit ribosomal RNA
Source: RNAcentral